GAGGUAUACAGUUCAUUUACAACGUUGCGUUCAUUUCUGGUGCACAGCACCGUGCUGUCCUGGAAUUUAAUUCAACAUUUAAUCUUUAUCUGCUUACACGAGACGGAGCCUAAGUUUAGUUCUUUGCAUAGAGAGCACAAGGGCUGGGAGAG
Vicugna pacos (alpaca) is the source of this 152-nucleotide non-coding RNA. Lineage: Eukaryota; Metazoa; Chordata; Mammalia; Artiodactyla; Camelidae. The record is from RefSeq and is a predicted model, not a curated record.